AAUCUCAGCUAUAGCCUCGGGAAAUGAAGAGCUUUGGUAAUAAUACUUAAUAACAUUGACGAAAUCCGCCAUCGUUAAAAGGCCCGCAAACUUAUUCGCUUCACUGUCCCAUAAAGGAGCACUGACGAUAUCUAAGACGUGAUUAAUAAGUUGAUUUCACAUCUGUAAUGAAAAAUCUUUCGUACUGUUUAAUGUAAGAAGAGAAAGUGAUGUUUUUACAAAAAGCGUAACAUCGAACACGAUUAAACGGAAGGACGUAGGCAAAACAUCGUAACUUGUACGCG
Non-coding RNA from Schizosaccharomyces pombe (fission yeast), 284 nucleotides. The record is from the annotation of a GenBank genome assembly. Lineage: Eukaryota; Fungi; Ascomycota; Schizosaccharomycetes; Schizosaccharomycetales; Schizosaccharomycetaceae.